AUAUAUACCAAGCUAUGCAGAGGUUUUUUUUUAGAGUAAAAAUAGACAGCAGGAAAUCAUGCUAUAAUCUAAGAUUCUCUUUUUAGCGUGAGCCUGUUUGGCCUAAGAAACCACACAGUGCUCUGUGGAGACUUGUCCUAAUUUCUGGAGUAUUUAUCAGUGAGGAAAGAACCCAGGACUGAAAGUCAGGGCCCAGGUCUGGCUCUUCCACCAUUCUUCUUCUUCUUCUUCUUCUUUAUUUUUUUGCUGAGGAAGAUUGGCCCUGAGCUAACAUCUGUGCCAAUCUUCCUAUAUUUUAUGUGGGAUGCUGCCACAGCAUGGCCACUGACAAGUGGUAUAAGUCCAUGCCCAGGAACUGAAGCCAGUCUGCCGAAGUGGAGCACGCCAAGCUUAACCACUAGGCCAUGGGGCCAGCCCCUGCCACCAUUCUGCUGGGCAAGAUGGGGCAAGAAAUUUCAUUGCUUCAGUUCUCAAUUUUUUCAUUUAUUGAAGGACUACCCUGGGUUUCUCAACCUCAGUAGUGUAGAUACUUUGGCCUAGGUCAUUCUUUGUUAUGAAGGGCUUGCCCUAUACAUUAUACGGUGUUUAGCAGCUCCCUGGCCUCUACCCACUAGAGGCCAGUAGCACCCUCCACCUCUGCCCGAGUUGUGACAAUGAAAAAUGUCUCUAAACAUGAUCAAAUGUCCCCUGGGGGGCAAAAUCACCCCCAGUUGGGAACUACUGGCUAGAAGCAGAUUUUACAUUCACAGAAUAUGUGCUGAGAACACCCGAUGGGGAAGGCUCUGUGCUGUGCGCCUGGGACACAGAGGAGGAAAGAGGACAUGCCCUCCUGUCUGCGUGGAGCUUCCAUCUCAUGGGGAAGGAGAGUCUUCAGGCUAUUGGGAGACACGUGGACAGGUGUACUCCUGCACAUGCAGGAGUCAGGGAUCCUCUGCACCUGUUAUUCUGGGAACAUACAAGCCCUGGAUACACUCAGUCACUUCUUAAUAAGUGAUGUGUUUUGGCCCAUUGCCUCCUCAGUAAGUGGGGAAAAUGAAUACUCCCAUUUGGGGAUAGAGAACUAUUGUAACACAGGUGCACAAAUUGACGGGGAAAUGAAGAGUGGGUAUAAAGUGGGCACCAGAGCAGAAAGAGAUGAUUCUUAGGGCGUAAUUCUCAUCUAUCUCUGGGGUAAUGAUUUGGGCAUGUUUUCCUCUCUUGGCUGCCACGCUCAUGAGAAGAACUCAGCAGAGGUGAACUAGACCUGGCGCCUGGUGUAACUUUUCUUAGCCCUCAAUUUUCACACUCUUCUGGGGUGUUUGUAUUGUAAUGGGAUUAUCAGAACAUUCUAAAUACAGUUUUCUUUGAGAGGAAAAAAAGACACUUUUAGAAGAUGAUUUCUUCCUUCUAAGGAAUGCAUUCAUAGGAUAUUAAAUGGAUAGGCAUGAUAGCAUAGAUAUUGGGAGUCCAGGCUAAGGGGGUGGCAUAUUUGACUUCAUAAUUCUGACUCAGACCCUUAUGAGCUGUGCAAUUUAAAGCAAGUUGUUUGGCCUUUCUGUGCUUUGUUUUUUUCCACUAGUAAAAUGGAAAUACUGAUAGUAUUUACCUCACAAGGUUGUUGUGAGGAUUAAAAGACCUUGAAAAGAACCUGGCAUACAGAACCACUAAUUAUGUUUUGGAAAGAAAUUCUGAGGAGUCUGGAAUCACCAGGUGACAUGAAUAAGAUCCUAGUUUACUAAGGUCGUGAGUAGAUUUCUGCAAAGCACUGUGUUUAGUGACCCAGGUUAUGCCCUUCUCAGCCCUUUCAAAUCCUUCUAACAUAAGCGCAGGCCUAGUACUGGCUUAUGUCAUCUACAAAAUAGGGGAAAUUAAACAUUAUUUUUAUCCAAGGUCAGGCAUUUGAACCAGAAGAUUUCUGGAAAAUCCAUCCCACCUAUAAAACCCCUGGUUUUGAAUUAUUCUGGAUUCUUACAAAUUCUGUUUAGCUUCUGUGGCUCUGUAAAAUAUGAAAAAUUGAUCUCAUCCCCACUCUAUUGCUCAAAUAUUAGGUGAGGACUUGAGAAAGAUGCCUCAGCUGAUUGGAAGGAGGGCUUUGUGAGCUCUGUGCUAGGUGCUGGGGAUGCCUGUGAGAGAGACAAUCAAG
Equus caballus (horse) is the source of this 2122-nucleotide long non-coding RNA. The record is from Ensembl. NCBI's taxonomy places the organism in Eukaryota, Metazoa, Chordata, Mammalia, Perissodactyla, Equidae.